GCCGGGCAUGGUGGCGCAAGCCUGUAAUCCCAGCUACUGUGGAGGCUGAUGCAGGAGAAUCACUUGAACCCAAGAGGCUGGGGUUGCAGUGAACCGAGAUCGCACCACUGCACUCCAGCCUGGGUGACAGAGCGAGACUCUGUCUCAA
Non-coding RNA from Homo sapiens (human), 148 nucleotides. It matches the Rfam family "Metazoan signal recognition particle RNA". Rfam says of the family: The signal recognition particle (SRP) is a universally conserved ribonucleoprotein. NCBI's taxonomy places the organism in Eukaryota, Metazoa, Chordata, Mammalia, Primates, Hominidae. The record is from Rfam.